Myodes glareolus (Bank vole) is the source of this 1290-nucleotide long non-coding RNA. RefSeq lists it as uncharacterized. NCBI's taxonomy places the organism in Eukaryota, Metazoa, Chordata, Mammalia, Rodentia, Cricetidae. The record is from RefSeq and is a predicted model, not a curated record.
CACAGGACCUGGGAGCAAAGGUUGAGUCCAGUAUCACUGCUGUGCCUUCAAGCCUCUAGCAUGCUUUCGACUCCCAAUGCAGAGGGGAGGGCACAGAAGAGACUAAACCACACAGGGGAGCAUUGGGAUGGAGAAGCGAUACCCAUCAGUGUCAAUGAGCUGGAAGCAUCAAACCUCAAAGACAAGAGGACAUUUUGACGCAUCUGGUCUUGCUGUCAGUCUUUUGUAAGGUCCUUUCUUUUAGAACAUGUAGUGUCUUUCGAUAUGUCUAAAGGCUUGCUCAAACCCUCUCUGGACCUCCUUACCUCUCCUGCCUGAGAUGUGGCUACAAGUUCAGUUCUAGGUCUGGGCAGCUGGGAAUGAAUGAGCGGCCUCCCCCAACAGUAUGGCUUCAACACAUGGCCCUGGGAAGGAACCUCUGCCCUCCUCUUGACAUAAAAAAAAAUUGCAGAAUCCAAUUCUUUGUCCAGGGUUCCUAUGACAUCAAGUGAUUUCUUAUGAUGAGGACAUGCUCUCUAAUGAGGAUAAAAUAAACUUAAAUUAAAAGUGAAUCAGGCAGAAGUUGGGUGUGGUGGUGUACACCUUUAAUCCCAGCAUGCAGCACGCAGAUCUUCAUGAGCUGUCGGCCAGCCUGUCUUCCUAGUGAGUUCCAAGCCAGCCAGAUCAGCACAGCGACAGCUUGACAGCAAUGCUGACUAGGUCAGGGUGGGAGAGUGAAGCUGGAAGGCUUCCGGGGGAGAUGAUGAAAUUGUGGGAAGAUUUAUUCAUACAUACAUACAUAUAUAUAUAUGUAUAUAUUUGUAUAUAUGAGUGUGUGUCUGAAAACGUAUGUGCACGCACACACACACACACACACACACACACACACAUAUUCACACUGAGCACCAGGCAAUCCCAGACUGUCAGCAGAUAUUUCUUAAAUAGAAGAUGAUAGUUUUGUGAAGGUGAUUUAAAUUUCCAUCUGUCCAAAGACUCGGUACAAGAAUGACAAGUUGACUGGUUUCUUUGGCUGAACUGAACUUGUAGACUUAGCAGAGCUCCUAACUUGUAAGAUGUCCAGGGAACACCUAAGAAUUGGGGUCAUCACUCCAGGAUGAAUCUUCGAGCGUCUGCCAUUACAUGGUUGUCAGUCAAAUGUUGUCAGACAAAUGGAUGCGUCAUCUCCACAGUCAAUAUAUUUUGAUUUUAUAUUAGAGGAAUUUCAAUUAAGUGAAGUUUUGCUGAAUGUAUUUUGCAAAAUCUCUAGCCUAUUAGGUCCUUUUUAAAUUCCCACCCAGAAAUAAUGUAAGU